RNAcentral lists this ribosomal RNA (497 nucleotides) under uncultured bacterium. RNAcentral describes it as "partial 16S ribosomal RNA". It matches the Rfam family "Bacterial small subunit ribosomal RNA", at positions 28 to 507 of the family's 1533-position model. The record is from RNAcentral.
GACGAACGCUGGCGGCGUGCCUAAUACAUGCGAGUUGAGCGAUGAAGAUUGGUGCUUGCACCAAUUUGAAGAGCAGCGAACGGGUGAGUAACGCGUGGGGAAUCUGCCUUUGAGCGGGGGACAACAUUUGGAAACGAAUGCUAAUACCGCAUAACAACUUUAAACAUAAGUUUUAAGUUUGAAAGAUGCAAUUGCAUCACUCAAAGAUGAUCCCGCGUUGUAUUAGCUAGUUGGUGAGGUAAAGGCUCACCAAGGCGAUGAUACAUAGCCGACCUGAGAGGGUGAUCGGCCACAUUGGGACUGAGACACGGCCCAAACUCCUUCGGGAGGCAGCAGUAGGGAAUCUUCGGCAAUGGACGAAAGUCUGACCGAGCAACGCCGCGUGAGUGAAGAAGGUUUUCGGAUCGUAAAACUCUGUUGGUAGAGAAGAACGUUGGUGAGAGUGGAAAGCUCAUCAAGUGACGGUAACUACCCAGAAAGGGACGGCUAACUACGUG